This 301-nucleotide ribosomal RNA is filed under the name uncultured bacterium. Its description in RNAcentral is "partial 16S ribosomal RNA". It matches the Rfam family "Bacterial small subunit ribosomal RNA", at positions 509 to 807 of the family's 1533-position model. The record is from RNAcentral.
CAGUCGCCGCGGUAAUACGGAGGGUGCGAGCGUUAAUCGGAAUAACUGGGCGUAAAGGGCACGCAGGCGGUUAUUUAAGUGAGGUGUGAAAGCCCCGGGCUUAACCUGGGAAUUGCAUUUCAGACUGGGUAACUAGAGUACUUUAGGGAGGGGUAGAAUUCCACGUGUAGCGGUGAAAUGCGUAGAGAUGUGGAGGAAUACCGAAGGCGAAGGCAACCCCUUGGGAAUGUACUGACGCUCAUGUGCGAAAGCGUGGGGAGCAAACAGGAUUAGAUACCCCUGUAGUCCCUGUCUCUUAUAC